AAAAGAAGAGAGAGAGAGAGAGAAAGAGAGAGAGAGAGAGAGAGAAAGAGAGAGAUAACACACACACAAAAUAACGCAUAACAAUUAUGGUGCUCGCUAAAUGAGAAAGCAAAUGAUAAUUGUUUAAUGGACAAGGCUUUCUUCAUUAAAAGCGAACCAACAACAACAACAA
Molecule: long non-coding RNA, 172 nt
Organism: Vespula pensylvanica (western yellowjacket)
Lineage: Eukaryota; Metazoa; Arthropoda; Insecta; Hymenoptera; Vespidae
Exons: 2
Source: RefSeq, a predicted model, not a curated record